GGGGGCGAAACGGUUUCGACGAGAGGUAAUGAUACAAGGGUUGCAUGUGCGGGAUGCCGUUGGCCCGUUAAAAAACGGCGAAAACAUAAUCGCUAACGAUUAUGAUGUUGCAGUAGCUGCUUAAACAAUAAGUUAGCUACCGUUUCCGCUCUCUAAGCCUGCGGGGGAGAUGGAAACGACAUUUAGCGGGCUGGUCUGAACGGUAGGCUUCUGGCCGUUUGGACGAGACUUAAAGAAGCUGGCGGCGGGGACAUCCUGUUCCUGGGAGAUUCUUGCCGCGAGAUCCAAAGCAGGAACUAAACAUGUAGACGCCUUUGCUUGAAAACUUUCGGACGGGGGUUCGACUCCCCCCGCCUCCACCA
Molecule: transfer-messenger RNA, 362 nt
Filed under: Nitrospinaceae
Lineage: Bacteria; Pseudomonadati; Nitrospinota; Nitrospinia; Nitrospinales
Also listed under: 2 other names
Description: Nitrohelix vancouverensis Standard tmRNA
Rfam family: transfer-messenger RNA
About the family: Bacterial tmRNA, also known as 10Sa RNA or SsrA, is named for its dual tRNA and mRNA-like properties. Its role is to liberate the mRNA from a stalled ribosome. To accomplish this part of the tmRNA is used as a reading frame that ends in a translation stop signal.
Source: RNAcentral